Molecule: microRNA precursor, 54 nt
Filed under: Bombyx mori (domestic silkworm)
Lineage: Eukaryota; Metazoa; Arthropoda; Insecta; Lepidoptera; Bombycidae
Description: mir-2774 microRNA precursor family
Rfam family: mir-2774 microRNA precursor family
Source: Rfam by way of RNAcentral
ACAACAUUCGGACCGUCGGUCUACCCGAUCGGUGGAAGAUCUUCCCUUUAUCAU